RNAcentral lists this ribosomal RNA (467 nucleotides) under uncultured bacterium. RNAcentral describes it as "bacterial SSU rRNA". It matches the Rfam family "Bacterial small subunit ribosomal RNA", at positions 9 to 522 of the family's 1533-position model. The record is from RNAcentral.
GAGUUUGAUCCUGGCUCAGAACGAACGCUGGCGGCAUGCCUAAUACAUGCAAGUCGAACGAGACCUUCGGGUCUAGUGGCGCACGGGUGCGUAACGCGUGGGAAUCUGCCCUUGGGUUCGGAAUAACUUCGGGAAACUGAAGCUAAUACCGGAUGAUGACGAAAGUCCAAAGAUUUAUCGCCCAGGGAUGAGCCCGCGUAGGAUUAGCUAGUUGGUGGGGUAAAGGCUCACCAAGGCAACGAUCCUUAGCUGGUCUGAGAGGAUGAUCAGCCACACUGGGACUGAGACACGGCCCAGACUCCUACGGGAGGCAGCAGUAGGGAAUAUUGGACAAUGGGCGAAAGCCUGAUCCAGCAAUGCCGCGUGAGUGAUGAAGGCCUUAGGGUUGUAAAGCUCUUUUACCCGAGAUGAUAAUGACAGUAUCGGGAGAAUAAGCUCCGGCUAACUCCGUGCCAGCAGCCGCGGUA